GACGAACGCUGGCGGCGUGCUUAACACAUGCAAGUCGAACGGUGAAGCGCCUUCCUUGUUGGUGGGUGUGGAUGAGUGGCGAACGGGUGAGUAACACGUGAGUAACCUGCCCCCUUCUUCUGGAUAACCGCAUGAAAGUGUGGCUAAUACGGGAUAUUCUGGUGCUGGCGCAGGAUGGGUCUGGUAAGGAUGUUGGUUCGGUGGGGGAGGGGCUCGGGGCCUAUCAGCGUGUGGGUGGGGUGAUGGCCUACCAAGGCGGGGACGGGUGGACGGCCUGAGCGGGUGGCCGGCCUGAGUGGGAGUCCGGCAACACCGGGACUGCUACAGGGGGCAGAAGUGGGGAGUAGGGAGCAGUGGGGGCAAGCGUGAUGCGGGGGCGAGGCGUGAGGGAUGGCGGCCUUCGGGUUGUGACCCUCUUUCGCUAGUGAACCACGCCUGCCUCGUUUGUGGGUGGGUUGACGGUAGCUGGAUAAGAAGCGCCGGCUAACUACGUG
Molecule: ribosomal RNA, 494 nt
Filed under: uncultured bacterium
Lineage: Bacteria
Description: partial 16S ribosomal RNA
Rfam family: Bacterial small subunit ribosomal RNA
Source: RNAcentral